GACGAACGCUGGCGGCGUGCUUAACACAUGCAAGUCGAACGGAAAGGCCCUGCGUUUGUGGGGUGCUCGAGUGGCGAACGGGUGAGUAACACGUGAGUAACCUGCCCUUGACUUUGUGAUAACUUCAGGGAACUGGGGCUAAUACCGGAUAGGAGCUCCUGCUGCAUGGUGUGGGUUGGAAAGAUCCGGCGGUUGGGGAUGGACUCGAUGCUUAUGAGCUUGAUUGUCGGGUAGUGGCUUACCACGGCUUUGACGGGUAGCCGGCCUUGGAGGGGGGCCGGCGACAUUGGGACUGAGAUACGGCCCAGUAGCGUACGGGCGGCAGCAGUGGGGAAUCUUGCACAAUGGCCGGAAGCGUGAUGCAGAAAUGUCGCGUGCGGGAUGACGGCCUUCGAGUUGUAAACAGCUUUCGAAUGUGACGAAGAGUGAGUGACGGUAAUGGGUAAAGAAGCACCGGCUAACUACGUG
This 468-nucleotide ribosomal RNA is filed under the name uncultured bacterium. RNAcentral's name for it is "partial 16S ribosomal RNA". It matches the Rfam family "Bacterial small subunit ribosomal RNA", at positions 28 to 507 of the family's 1533-position model. The record is from RNAcentral.